Long non-coding RNA from Triticum dicoccoides, 1939 nucleotides. RefSeq lists it as uncharacterized. Lineage: Eukaryota; Viridiplantae; Streptophyta; Magnoliopsida; Poales; Poaceae. The transcript is spliced from 5 exons. The record is from RefSeq and is a predicted model, not a curated record.
AAAAAGGAAGAAAACACUGGAACCGAAGAGGGCAGCGGCCACUGCCGCACACCGCCGGCGCCGCCGGCGCCAUCCGCCCCCGAUUCCGCGAUGCUCCUCUUACCUUCUCCUCUGACGCAGCUGCGCCGCCGCCCACCAUCUGCCCCUCGUUCCCGAGUCUCCUCCUCCCCCCGCCCCAUCUCCUCCAACGCCUACGUUGGCGAGUACGCCGCCGGCACAUUCCGUCCCUCGAGUCCGCAACACCAUUCCUGCCUCCUCCUCUGAUGCAGAAACCCGGCUGCCCACCACCUCCCCCCUCCUACUGGCCGGCUCCUCGGGUCCUCCUCCACGCUCUACUCAUCCUCAGCGGCGCCGGCGCCGACGCCAGCUUCCCUGCCGACGCGCUCCACGGCCGUCCUCUUUGCGCACACGCUGGUCCACACCCACGUCCUCCUUCAGUCCACCCCGUCUCAGAUACAACUGGUCUGGUGUGAUGGUUGACAUGGGGUACUAUGCCUCUGCUUCCCAAUCCGUCCCGCCUCCCAAGUUCAAUUUUUUCUGUCCUUAGAGUUCAAAUCCGCGCGCCCAGUUCGAACUGUCCAGAAACCACUCCUGCAGCCCAGUAUAAAUAAGUGGGUAGGCUUAUGGGACUCACGCUACUCAAACUACACCUCCAAGAAGGCACGCAUUAACCUUCAGAUCGAACAGAUUGUGGGGAAGUGUGAUUCACUCCUCUUCGCCAUCUAAUCUUCAUCAAGGGCAAGAUAUGACAAGCUCAAGUCACUCGUCUUUGGAUGAUGAAGUGACAAAAGAAUCAUCUAUGAUUUUUCGUACUAAUGGCAUGCUCAUAUCAACUGAUGACUUGGUGCGAGGUGAAAGUUCAAAAGGGCGAAAGUGUGCACGUGAAGCCAUAAGAUAUGCUAGCCGUACACCAGAACAAAUCCAAGCAAGGCGAGAACGUGUUAGAGCACGUCGGCAAAAUUUAACACCUAAGAUUAAUGCACACAGAAGAGAGAAAAUACAAUGAAUGACACUUGAUGAGAGGAAUGCAAGCCAACGAGCGCGUAGGUAAAGUUUGACAUUAGAUGAGAGGCAAGAAAGAAAUCCACGCCGGCGAGAACGUAGGCAAAGCCUACCACUUGAAGAGCGGCAAGCACUCCUAGCUCAAUGUAAUGCAAGCUACGCAUCUAAACGAGAUGCCAUCUGCAGUGAUUCUGUUGCACUAUGUUGCUCUUUCUAGAGCUACAUCUAGAAGUAAUAUGAAGAUUCUUACUGUCCCAGAUAAGCAAAAGGAAGGCCAGUCCUACUCCAUUGCAAAUUUUACAAAGAACAUAGUCUACAAAGAAGUUCUCAGCAUGUAGUACAAGAUGGAUGACGUGAGAGCCCUAGAGCUAAUAUUGUUGGCAUAAAUGUUUUGAUCAAACAACUAAAGAAGAGUAUACUAUGCUGAGAAAUGACUUCAUGGCCUGAUAGAUGCCUAAGUAAGUAUGGUGGCAUGAAAUGUUCAAUUCCUGGAUGAAUGGUAACACAAUAGCUUGUUUUGCUUUCUACAGCCUUUCCAAGGAAAGAAGCAGUUAUGUUGCAGUGGUAAUAAGGCUUGACAUGAUGAUAUGUAUUGGAGAUUGCUUGUUGUGCUGGUGAUUUUGGGAGAUCUGGUGUGAGUGCAGUCAUCACAUUUAUCACAAUUGGGAGUUAUCGCCUGCAACGCUCAUGCGGCUUGCGAUUGACGAAGCCAAUGUUCGAAGGAUGCUGACGCACGGCACAUCAUUUUGCCAAAUUAAUCUAGCUUACCGAGCCCGAUCAUUUUGGUUGACCUUGUAUGUACUCUCUUAUAUAUGCAAGUUAUGUACCAAUUGUUCCUACGAGAUGGAGAUGGAGCAGAAAGAGUUUGGCCUGGACAAAUGGGAUUAGAAAUCAUAUGUUUGACUUUCUUUGAUGUCUACCUAUCAAUAAUAAUAUA